This 433-nucleotide ribosomal RNA is filed under the name uncultured bacterium. RNAcentral's name for it is "partial 16S ribosomal RNA". It matches the Rfam family "Bacterial small subunit ribosomal RNA", at positions 29 to 507 of the family's 1533-position model. The record is from RNAcentral.
AACGAACGCUGGCGGCAUGCCUAACACAUGCAAGUCGAACGAGACCUUCGGGUCUAUUGGCUCACGGGUGCGUAACGCGUGGGAACCUGCCCUUAGGUUCGGAAUAACUCCCCUAAAGGGGUGCUUAUACCGGUUAAUGUCUUCGGACCAAAGAUUUAUCGCGUUUGUAUGGGCCCGCGUUGGAUUAGCUUUUUGUUAGGGUAAAAGCAUACCAAGGCGACGAUCCAUAGCUGGUCAGAGAGGAUGAUAAGCCACACUGGGACUGAGAAACGGCCCAGACUACUACGGGAGGCAGGAGUGGGGAAUAUUGGACAAUGGGCGAAAGCCUGAUCAAGCAAUGACGCGUGAGUGAUGAAGGCCUUAGGGUUGUAAAGCUCUUUUAAACGGGAUGAUAAUGACAGUACCGGGAGAAUAAGCACCGGCUAACUCCGUG